GACGAACGCUGGCGGCGUGCCUAAUACAUGCAAGUAGAACGCACAGUUUAUACCGUAGCUUGCUACACCAUAAACUGUGAGUUGCGAACGGGUGAGUAACGCGUAGGUAACCUGCCUGGUAGCGGGGGAUAACUAUUGGAGACGAUAGCUAAUACCGCAUAAUAUUGAUUAUUGCAUGAUAAUUGAUUGAAAGAUGCUAUUGCAUCACCACCAGAUGGACCUGCGUUGUAUUAGCUAGUAGGUGAGGUAACGGCUCACCUAGGCGACGAUACAUAGCCGACCUGAGAGGGUGAUCGGCCACACUGGGACUGAGACACGGCCCAGACUCCUACGGGAGGCAGCAGUAGGGAAUCUUCGGCAAUGGACGAAAGUCUGACCGAGCAACGCCACGUGAGUGAAGAAGGUUUUCGGAUCGUAAAGCUCUGUUGUAAGAGAAGAACGGGUGUGAGAGUGGAAAGUUCACACUGUGACGGUAUCUUACCAGAAAGGGACGGCUAACUACGUG
RNAcentral lists this ribosomal RNA (505 nucleotides) under uncultured bacterium. RNAcentral's name for it is "partial 16S ribosomal RNA". It matches the Rfam family "Bacterial small subunit ribosomal RNA", at positions 28 to 507 of the family's 1533-position model. The record is from RNAcentral.